GAUGAACGCUGGCGGCGUGCCUAAUACAUGCAAGUCGAGCGAACAGACGAGGAGCUUGCUCCUCUGACGUUAGCGGCGGACGGGUGAGUAACACGUGGAUAACCUACCUAUAAGACUGGGAUAACUUCGGGAAACCGGAGCUAAUACCGGAUAAUAUAUUGAACCGCAUGGUUCAAUAGUGAAAGACGGUUUUGCUGUCACUUAUAGAUGGAUCCGCGCCGCAUUAGCUAGUUGGUAAGGUAACGGCUUACCAAGGCAACGAUGCGUAGCCGACCUGAGAGAGGGAUCGGCCACACUGGAACUGAGACACGGUCCAGACUCCUACGGGAGGCAGCAGUAGGGAAUCUUCCGCAGUAGGCGAAAGCUUGGCGGAGCAACGCGGCGUGAGUGAUGAAGGUCUUCGGAUCGUAAAACUCUGUUAUUAGGUAAGAACAAAUGUGUAAGUAGCUAUGCACGUCUUGACGGUACCUGAUCAGAAAGCCACGGCUAACUACGUG
Molecule: ribosomal RNA, 497 nt
Filed under: uncultured bacterium
Lineage: Bacteria
Description: partial 16S ribosomal RNA
Rfam family: Bacterial small subunit ribosomal RNA
Source: RNAcentral